This 502-nucleotide unclassified non-coding RNA is filed under the name Hevea brasiliensis (rubber tree). The record is from RNAcentral. Lineage: Eukaryota; Viridiplantae; Streptophyta; Magnoliopsida; Malpighiales; Euphorbiaceae.
GUCCAGUAACACCCCCCUUCAUUGGGGUCUAUAAAAUCACACCACAUACCUCGCCUCCAAUACCCACUGCUUUCUCCUUUUACCUCUUCUACCUUUUCUCAAUAACAUAGCUUUCUUCAGCCAUGNNNNNNNNNNNNNUGGUGAGACUGACAUGCUUCAAACUAUGCAGCAAGAUGCCCUUCACUUAGCUGCAAAGGCCCUUCAUAUCUUCAGUGUCUCUUGGUCGAAUGAUAUAACUUGCUUCAUAAAAAAGGUGAUCUCCUCAAUUAAAUUGACAUUAGGACCCAUACUGAUUCAAUAUUGUGGUUUCGAUGACUAAGGAAAGCACGUCUGAAGCUCUCUUGUUAUCGCAGGAUUUUGACAGGCUGCAUAGACCUGGAUGGCAAUGCAAAGUGGGGACAGAUUUUGGUUCCUUUGUGACGCACUACCAUGGCUACUUCAUCUACUUCUAUAUUGGCAGUCUUGCAAUUCUGUGAUGCGCUGUAAAUCAAUUAGAUGCUUG